RNAcentral lists this ribosomal RNA (344 nucleotides) under uncultured bacterium. RNAcentral's name for it is "bacterial SSU rRNA". It matches the Rfam family "Bacterial small subunit ribosomal RNA", at positions 28 to 389 of the family's 1533-position model. The record is from RNAcentral.
GAUGAACGCUGGCGGCGUGCCUAAUACAUGCAAGUCGAGCGAACCACUUCGGUGGUGAGCGGCGAACGGGUGAGUAACACGUAGGUUAUCUGCCAUCAGACGGGGACAACGAUUGGAAACGAUCGCUAAUACCGGAUAGGACGAAAGUUUAAAGGUGCUUCGGCACCACUGAUGGAUGAGCCUGCGGCGCAAUUAGCUAGUUGGUAGGGUAAAGGCCUACCAAGGCGACGAUGCGUAGCCGACCUGAGAGGGUGAACGGCCACACUGGGACUGAGACACGGCCCAGACUCCUACGGGAGGCGGCAGUAGGGAAUCUUCGGCAAUAGGGCGGAAAGACCUGACCG